Cuculus canorus (common cuckoo) is the source of this 784-nucleotide long non-coding RNA. RefSeq lists it as uncharacterized. Lineage: Eukaryota; Metazoa; Chordata; Aves; Cuculiformes; Cuculidae. The transcript has 2 exons. The record is from RefSeq and is a predicted model, not a curated record.
GGUUAAAUACAGGAAAGCAUGUGAGAGGCAUGUAGUGGGUGAUACAAGGGAAGUCAGAAUUGCAAAAGAAUGCCUCAUUUCCAGGUGGGGGUGGCUUUGGACCAUAUAAAAGGCUGCCCACCACAGUGGUCUUCAUUCGCUCAUCUUGCCUUCUCCUCACUUGUCCUCACAGGUUGACAGGCUUUGCCUUCACUACUACCAACAACAUGGCCAACGGUUGUGGAUGCUGUGGAAACAACAAUAACAACUAUGCCAUCUGCUGCUACAGCACCCGGAAGUCGGCCUGCAAGACACCGAUGUGCUGCUCGCCCAUGCAGUGCUGCACUCCCUGCUGCACUCCCUGCUGCACUCCCUGCUGCAUGCCCAUGCAGACCUGCUGCUACGUCAUGGGCAAUAACAACAACAACGGAGGCUGCUGUAGCUGCUGCGGCGGCAACUAAACCCGCUCGGCAAAGGGCAGGCAGGGCUGCGCUCAUCACCUCUGCCACCACGCUGCCUUCCGCCUCCCUCCUGGCUCACUCGGUGUCAGAUACAGACACAGAUACAGCCCUAAAUGCUCUUCCUCUUUAGAGACUGUAGAUCAUCUUUCCUCCUCUUCAUCUGCCUUUAAUCACUGACUGCCUGUAAUGUGCCUUGAAGUUGCUCCUCAUGAUUUUCCUUUGUAAGCAUGAGUCCUGCUGUUAAUCUUCCUCUUGGUGUGUGGGAUGUUUAAUUUCUUUCAUCACUGUUUUUCUUUAAUCUCUCUGAAAAAUCAAUAAAAUCUGUAGUUCAUGACCCUGCAAAA